Molecule: ribosomal RNA, 313 nt
Filed under: uncultured bacterium
Lineage: Bacteria
Description: bacterial SSU rRNA
Rfam family: Bacterial small subunit ribosomal RNA
Source: RNAcentral
GACGAACGCUGGCGGCGCGCCUAACACAUGCAAAUCGAACGGAGUUAUUUGAAAGCUUGCUUUUGGAUAACUGAGUGGCGGACGGGUGAGUAACGCGUGGGUAACCUGCCUCAUACAGGGGGAUAACAGUUAGAAAUGACUGCUAAUACCGCAUAAGCGCACAGCAUCACAUGAUGCAGUGUGAAAAGCCGAGACGGUAUGAGAUGGACCCGCGUCUGAUUAGCUAGUUGGUGGGGUAACGGCCCACCAAGGCGACGAUCAGUAGCCGACCUGAGAGGGUGACCGGCCACAUUGGGACUGAGACACGGCCCAA